RNAcentral lists this transfer RNA (73 nucleotides) under Felis catus (domestic cat). It matches the Rfam family "tRNA". Rfam says of the family: Transfer RNA (tRNA) molecules are approximately 80 nucleotides in length. Lineage: Eukaryota; Metazoa; Chordata; Mammalia; Carnivora; Felidae. RNAcentral also lists the same sequence under 2 other names. The record is from Rfam by way of RNAcentral.
ACCUGGCUGGCUCAGUCUGAAGAGCAUGUGACUCUUGAUCUUGGAGUCGUGAGUUCGAACUCCAUGUUAGGUG